Molecule: transfer RNA, 74 nt
Filed under: Agitococcus sp.
Lineage: Bacteria; Pseudomonadati; Pseudomonadota; Gammaproteobacteria; Moraxellales; Moraxellaceae
Description: tRNA-Cys
Rfam family: tRNA
About the family: Transfer RNA (tRNA) molecules are approximately 80 nucleotides in length. Their secondary structure includes four short double-helical elements and three loops (D, anti-codon, and T loops).
Source: RNAcentral
GGCGGAUUGGCAGAAAGGUUAUGUACUGGAUUGCAAAUCCAGCAAUAUCGGUUCGAUUCCGGUAUCCGUCUCCA